Non-coding RNA from Cinara cedri, 506 nucleotides. NCBI's taxonomy places the organism in Eukaryota, Metazoa, Arthropoda, Insecta, Hemiptera, Aphididae. The record is from the annotation of a GenBank genome assembly.
CCAGUACUUUUGGACACUUUAAGUGGCUCCAUCUGGACCAAAUGAGUUCAAACUUUAGAAUCAGAGGUUUGUUAUUGGCGAAUUGAAAAAAUUACAUUUUGGUUGAUUUAAGGUAUGAACUUCAUCAUGUUUUUAGGUGAAGAGGGUGUUCUUUAUCUCUGUAUUUCCGUACAGACCACCUAAGUAAAGCGAAAGAAAUUAAAUUUUAAAUUACAUGGUGUAAGUAUCUAGGAUAUACAUUUUGGUGGUUUCAACUUUUAACCUUAACUCAGGCGCGUCCUGAGCCGUGUGAUGUUCUUUUUUAUUAUACAUAAAAUAUCCAUAAUUCUUAAGUAGAAAUAAGUACAAAUGCAACUGGUUCCAAAUGCCAUAAAGAUGAUUCCGGAUCUUGGAAAUACUUUGAUUGAAACAAGAAUAAACACUUCUCAUUUAUAAACUUCAAUAAAUAUUUUCUCAAGGGUAGGAUAGAACUAUGAAAAAAUAAGCGUGAACAAUCAAUUUUCAAA